Molecule: long non-coding RNA, 2592 nt
Organism: Anolis carolinensis (green anole)
Lineage: Eukaryota; Metazoa; Chordata; Lepidosauria; Squamata; Anolidae
Source: Ensembl
UUUUAGUAGUCAGUGUUUUUGUAGUCAAUGUUUUCAAUACAUUGCAAUGUUUUGGAGCCAAAUUCGUAAAUAGAGUACAGUAGAGUCUCGCUUAUCCAAGCUUCUGGAUUGUCCAAGCCAUUUUUGUAGUCAAUGUUUUCAAUAUAUCGUGAUAUUUUGGUGCUAAAUUCGUAAAUACAGUAAUUACUACAUAGCAUUACUGUACACUGAACAACGUUUUCUGUCAAAUUUGUUGUAUAACAUGAUGUUUUGGUGCUUAAUUUGUAAAAUCAUAACCUAAUUUGAUGUUUAAUAGGUUUUUCCUUAAUCCCUCCUUAUUAUCCAAGAUAUUCGCUUAUCCAAGCUUCUGCCAACCAGUUUAGCUUGGAUAAGUGAGACUCUACUGUAAUUACUACAUAAUGUCACUGUGUAUCGAACUUUUUCUGUUGAUUUGUUGUAAAACAUGAUGUUUUGGUACUUAAUUUGUAAAAUCAUAGCGUAGUUUGACGUUUAAUAGGCUUUUCCUUAAUCCCUCAUUAUCCAACAUUUUCCCUUAUCCAACGUUCUGUCAGCCCAUUUAUGUUGGAUAAGUGAGACUCUACUGUACAUUUUACCCAUUUUUGAAUGGGCACUACUUGUUCUGAGCUAUAUAGAGAGGGCAUUUUUUCUAAAGAUGUUUUGUCUUUUUCAGCACUUUUCAAAUAUCAACAAACAAGGGCCAUUUGAUUCUGGUAGCCAUACUCGUAAUCAGAAGAAUAAGUCAGAGAGCAGGCCUCCAAAGGGAAACAACAACAAGACAGUGGAUGCUGUACAGAAAAACCACUGUACCCGAAUUGUGGAGGAGACCACUCUUCCCUCAAUCAAGUCACCCUGUAUGGUAGAUGAACCUUGAUUCACAGCGGUAGAUUUCGAAAACAUAUCCCCCUUUACAUCUGUGGAAUAAGGACAAAAACCUAAAAAUCAAAUUUCAAAUGUUUUGAAAGAUAAAAACAUAGUUUUCUCAUUAAUUGUGUUUUUCCUUUCCACACAAAAACCCCAUAAAAUUAUUAGAACACAGCCACAGUCUAAGCAAAUUUAUAGUCCUCAUCAAGGAAAUAGAUAGGCAGAUAAGUUAGCUGGUAGGGAAAGCUCUUCACUCAUUGCCCACUUUGCCUGCCUCCCUCCCUCUCUCUUUCUCUCCUGUUUGUUACACUCAUACUUCUCGGGUGCAUGUCUUUUUUAUUCAAGUUUUAGCCAUAUGGCAAGCCCCCUGAGUCCUCCAGUUGCUCUUCUCCUGGGAUUACGGUGAGAGAAGAUGUCUCCAAACAACUUGAUAGUUAAAGAGGUAGGCCCUUUUCCAUAUAGAAAUGCAGUAGGUAAGAGCAAAAUAAACACUUUUCUUAGGACCUCAUCAUACAUACCUAAAUCAGUCCUAGGAGGCUUGGACACCAUCGUCUUUUUCUAAAAAUGUUUUGUCUUUUUCAGCACUUUUCAAAUGGCUCGAAACAAGAGCCAUUGAAUUUUGGGAGCCAGAAGAAUAAAUCAGAGACCAGAUAAAGUACUGCAUUCUCUUUGCCUUUUAAGUGAUAUUAAGAUAGAACUGGUGGUUAAGUGGGGCAAAAGAAAACUAAAUUCCACUUGUUUCAAAUAUUGCUUUUUGACUGCCAUGAGAAUCCGCUACUAGAAGUAUAUGCAUUAAAAUGACUAGCAAAUAUAUGUUUUAAAACUGACUGCAUUAAAAUACAACUUCAAGAUGUAUUGCAGGACAUUUUGCCUGUAAAUGAAAGGUUAGUACUUUAUGUGUACAUCCGAUGGUAAAAACAGAUCUCCUUGCCUGUUGCUCUCCACAGAAUGUAGAAUGGGCUGAGCACAGAGAGGGAGAGAUUAAUUGUUAGUUAAUCUGUUGUACUUAAUGGAAGGCAGGUUCAUCAUCAUGAUCAUCAUGAUCAUCAUCUAGAUCCAACCCAUACUCAUCUUUCUUAGGUGAAUGCCAGUGUUCAUUUCCAUUCAGUAAUACUAUUUUCCCCGCAGAGAAAUGCCAUCGAAGUUCCGCAAUGUUAUUAUGGGAAGGUUACAGCAUCUGGGUUUUCCAAGAGAUAUACACCUACAGGAACAGCUACAGCUAGAGCCACAUGAUUUCUCCUGCUUUCAGGCAGAUUUUGAUUUUGGCUAUUCUAGGUAUGAACGGCAGGCAUGUACCGAAAUGCAGAAGCCAGCACGGUCAUAAGAAACAGAUUUCUGGAGGAGCACCUCUUGCACGUUCGUCCACAAAACCAUCACAAGCAUCUUGCAGUACUUUUUGGCUGCAAUGGAACAUAUUUCUGAGAAUCCGCAACUAGCAAGUAUAUGCUAAUUCACUGACAGCAUUAAAACACAACUUCAGGAUGUAUUGUAGGGCAUUUUGCCUGUAAAUAAAAGGUUAGUACUGUAUGUGUACAUCCGAUGGUAAAAACAGACUUCCUUGCCUGUUGCUCUCCACAGAAUGUAGAAUGGGCUGAAUAGAGAGAGAGAGAUCCAUUGUUAGUUAAUCUGUUGCACUUAAUGGAAGGCAGGUUCAUCAUCAUCAUCAUCUAGUCUAACCCAUGCUCAUUUUUCUAAGGUGAAUGCCAGUGUUCAUUUCCAUUCAGUAAUACC